Molecule: long non-coding RNA, 1467 nt
Organism: Acipenser ruthenus (sterlet)
Lineage: Eukaryota; Metazoa; Chordata; Actinopteri; Acipenseriformes; Acipenseridae
Exons: 3
Source: RefSeq, a predicted model, not a curated record
ACGGUCGUUUUGCAGAUGUGUUUGCAAAUUUUGAAUAUACUUUAAUUCAUAACUUGUUCCAAGAUUUUUAAUAAUGGAAUGACGAAAAAAAUAAAGCAGGGUGAACAUUUAUUAUUUUUUACAGUAAUAGUUGUAGGCAUACAUGCCAACCAACCGUCCCUAUAUGGUCUGGACAGUCCCGAUUGCCUAGUAAAUGUCCCGCGUCCCGAUGCAUAGGAAGAAAGUCCCGAUAUUUACCCAUAGGAAAAAAAAAUAAUUUAUUCUGCACAGUAGAGUUAGUGAAAACCACGUGCGGCUGACACAUCUGCUGAUCACUAACUUAUACAAAGAAUCUCAGUCCAUCAACUGAACGUAGACGGUCAGGGAGCAGUCAAGCAGAAUGUCACUACUGUCAACUUGGAGCCCAAUUCUCAAAAGCAACUUUAACCUAACCAGCCUUGUAAGACCAUCAUCCUGGAGUUCGCCUGAAUUUGGUACAGCCUGGGGCUUCACACUAGCACUAUCGCCAUGGUCGAAGAUAUCAAGAUUGGGAGAUUUUAAAGAAAAUAAAUCCAAGAAAAUUGAUUAUCAGUUUAAUGUUGUAUGAUUCUACUUAGUUUCGGUUAGUGUCUGAUUAAUAAAAAAUAAUUUAAAAAAAAGCCAAAUAUCUAAGGGGCAUAAAUUCCUUGGCCAGUUUGGCGGCGAGUUUUUAAAGCUGUUGCUCAAGACAUUUUUUAACUGACACAUUGAUGAAUAGAGCCCACUGUUUCCUUAGUACAAUAAUCACACUAUGCAUCAAUUGCAAACCCUCAUUAAGCAGACAAGAAAAGUUUCAUGAGUACCAGACCUUAACAAAACAGGCUUUCAGUAAAGCGUGACUUAAUGUUUUGUGAAUUGAGACCCACUGUUAGUAAUUAGAAAGGAGUUUAUAUGUCAAACUUUUAUUUUUACUCAUAAGCAGGUUUGUGUCUAACUGCCUAUGACCAUGUUGAGUUAUGUCCUUUAGCCUCUGAUUUAUAGUACAUCUGGCUAAAAGGUUUGAUGAUUUUGUGAAUAAGUUUGAAUUGCGAGUGACAUAGAGGUUACCGCUGGAGGCCAAUUGUUUUAAAGGUGCAGCCCAGUUGUGCUAUGCAGAACUGCCAUUAAUCUGUUCAGUGUUGUCAGAUGUACAGCUAUGGACAAAAGUUUUGCAUCAAUUUUAAGAUUUAAAUAAAUAAACUAUGUGAACAAAUGUAGAUGUUUUAUUUAACAUCAUGUAAUCAACAAAACUACAAAAUGAUAUCGCAAAAGUCUACCGGAAGCCAUAAUAGCAGUACAGUAUUUUUCAAUUUUUGUCGGUUUUUCAUUAAUUAUAUGGAAAACUACAACGCGGUAUGUAAUUCAGUAUGUUAUCGUAAUAUUAUUAAGCCAUUUCCUUCGAUUUUAUUAAACAAAAUUAAUUAAUUCUAUAGUGAUGCAAAACACUUGGCCAUAGCUGUAGAUGUGAGA